Molecule: ribosomal RNA, 395 nt
Filed under: uncultured bacterium
Lineage: Bacteria
Description: bacterial SSU rRNA
Rfam family: Bacterial small subunit ribosomal RNA
Source: RNAcentral
GACGAACGCUGGCGGCGUGCUUAACACAUGCAAGUCGAGCGGUAAGGCCCUUUCGGGGUACGACGAGCGGCGAACGGGUGAGUAACACGUGGGUGACCUGCCCUCAGCUCUGGGAUAAGCCUGGGAAACCGGGUCUAAUACUGGAUAUGACUCCAUGACGCAUGUUGGUGGGGUGGAAAGCCUUGUGCGGCUGAGGAUGGGCCCGCGGCCUAUCAGCUUGUUGGUGGGGUGANAGCCUACCAAGGCGACGACGGGUAGCCGGCCUGAGAGGGCGACCGGCCACACUGGGACUGAGACACGGCCCAGACUCCUACGGGGAGGCAGCAGUGGGGAAUCUUGCGCAAUGGGCGAAAGCCUGACGCAGCGACGCCGCGUGAGGGAUGACGGCCUCGGUU